GCCGAGCCGUGCCUGUAGUCUUUCCCUCUGAGACCUGCUGCAUUAACAGGCUGCGCUCUCUGCUGGUGCUGAUAACACCAGAGCUCCCGCGACAGGAGCACUGAGCAGUUGUAACACCUCAGCAGCCUUGAGUGUGGCAGCAACAACAUUCCACGCUUCCACACCUAGAAUACUUAAGGAAGUAGCUGAUGCAAUCUCAUUAAUGAUUAUCUUCGAGACUACAUGAAGAUGUUUGUAACUUUGAGGUUCUGGUGUAAUUAAGAACUUGAACAUGCUACCUAGGGAGGUUGUGGAAUCCCCGUCACUGGAGGUUUUUAAUAACAGGUUGGACAAACACCCGUCAAGCAUGGUCUAGAUUUGCUUGGUCCUGCCAAGCUCCUGGACUUGAGGUCUUCCCGAGGUCCCUUCCAGCCCUACAUUGCUAUGAUCCUAUGACUUGUAAACUACAUGGGUGGAAUCCUGGCCUCACUGAAGGCAAUGGCAAAAAUCCCAUUCACUUCAAUGGAAUCAGGUUUGUAAAUUAAGCCAAAGGGUUUAAUGCAGAGGUCCUUAAACUUUUGUGGUGAUGACCCCUUUCACACAGCAAGCCUUUGAGUGCGACCCCCUCUUAUAAAUUAAAAACACCUUUUUUAUAUUUAACUCCAUUGUAAAUGCAGGCGGUGAAGCAGCGUUUGGGGUGGAGGCUGACAGCUCAUGACCUCCCAGGUAAUAACCUCACAGCUCCCUGCGGGGUCAUGAUCCCCAGUUUGAGAACCCCUGGUUUAAUGAAACAGUGCAAACAUGACUACCCCAGCUCCUGAUGAUCCACUGAAGCCUGCUUCCUCCACAGUCGAUCCUGGCUGGUGUGUACCGCAGAUAUUGCACCAUGUGGUGGCAGUUUUCCUGGUGGGGUUGAUUGUGUCUCUGAGUCUGGCUUGGAUUCGCUGCUGUUCCAGUCCAGGGUCAAAGGGUUUAUGCCCAAGUGAAGUUUCAGUCAAGGAAUCACAACCAGAUCAGGAUGCAGUGGCUGAUGGAAGAGAAAAAUCAUAACCCACACUGGGAUCCGAGCCUGGAAACUCACAGCUGGCUCACUCCUGACCUCGACGACGGCAGCCAUUUUGUAAGGUGAUGUCUUUCUGUAAAAGCUAUUGGAUUGUUGUUACUGCUUCUGCUCUUCACGGCUGCUGCGUGUGGCUCAGUUGCAAAAUAUAACUCGAAAGUAA
Molecule: long non-coding RNA, 1202 nt
Organism: Dermochelys coriacea (leatherback sea turtle)
Lineage: Eukaryota; Metazoa; Chordata; Testudines; Dermochelyidae
Exons: 2
Source: RefSeq, a predicted model, not a curated record